UUUUCGCGUGAGGGAUAGCAGCGGAAAUCCUUUUUAUCAUGAAGCGGUAGCGGAAUGAAAAAAGAUUGCAGCGAAUAGCCCGACCCUUG
RNAcentral lists this small RNA (89 nucleotides) under Flavobacterium urumqiense. RNAcentral describes it as "Flavo-1 RNA". It matches the Rfam family "Flavo-1 RNA". The record is from RNAcentral. Lineage: Bacteria; Pseudomonadati; Bacteroidota; Flavobacteriia; Flavobacteriales; Flavobacteriaceae.